RNAcentral lists this transfer RNA (64 nucleotides) under Kuwayamaea chinensis. RNAcentral describes it as "tRNA-Thr". It matches the Rfam family "tRNA". Rfam says of the family: Transfer RNA (tRNA) molecules are approximately 80 nucleotides in length. Their secondary structure includes four short double-helical elements and three loops (D, anti-codon, and T loops). Lineage: Eukaryota; Metazoa; Arthropoda; Insecta; Orthoptera; Tettigoniidae. The record is from RNAcentral.
GUUUUAAUAGUUUAACCAAAAUACUGGUCUUGUAAAUCAGUGAUAAGAAUUCUCUUUUAAAACU